RNAcentral lists this ribosomal RNA (460 nucleotides) under uncultured bacterium. RNAcentral's name for it is "partial 16S ribosomal RNA". It matches the Rfam family "Bacterial small subunit ribosomal RNA", at positions 338 to 795 of the family's 1533-position model. The record is from RNAcentral.
CCUACGGGUGGCAGCAGUGAGGAAUAUUGGUCAAUGGGCGGAAGCCUGAACCAGCCAAGUAGCGUGCAGGAUGACGGUCCUACGGGUUGUAAACUGCUUUUAUACGGGAAUAACGCGCCUUACGUGUAGGGCUUUGCAUGUACCGUAUGAAUAAGGACCGGCUAAUUCCGUGCCAGCAGCCGCGGUAAUACGGAAGGUCCGAGCGUUAUCCGGAUUUAUUGGGUUUAAAGGGAGCGUAGGCGGCAUGUCAAGCGUGCUGUGAAAUGUCGGGGCUCAACCCGGGCCUUGCAGUGCGUACUGGCGUGCGUGAGUCCGCGUAAGGCAGGCGGAAUUCGUGGUGUAGCGGUGAAAUGCUGAGUUAUGACGAAGAACCCCGAUUGCGAAGGCAGCUUGCUGCAGCGCAACUGACGCUGAUGCUCGAAAGCGCGGGUAUCGAACAGGAUUAGAUACCCUAGUAGUC